Molecule: transfer RNA, 46 nt
Filed under: Blomia tropicalis
Lineage: Eukaryota; Metazoa; Arthropoda; Arachnida; Sarcoptiformes; Echimyopodidae
Description: tRNA-Tyr
Source: RNAcentral
GGUGAGUUACUUGAGAAGCUGUAAACUUUUCGUUUAUUUAUCACCA